RNAcentral lists this ribosomal RNA (465 nucleotides) under uncultured bacterium. Its description in RNAcentral is "partial 16S ribosomal RNA". It matches the Rfam family "Bacterial small subunit ribosomal RNA", at positions 338 to 795 of the family's 1533-position model. The record is from RNAcentral.
CCUACGGGAGGCAGCAGUAGGGAAUCUUCCACAAUGGGCGAAAGCCUGAUGGAGCAACGCCGCGUGGGUGAAGAAGGUCUUCGGAUCGUAAAACCCUGUUGUUAGAGAAGAAAGUGCGUGAGAGUAACUGUUCACGUUUCGACGGUAUCUAACCAGAAAGCCACGGCUAACUACGUGCCAGCAGCCGCGGUAAUACGUAGGUGGCAAGCGUUAUCCGGAUUUAUUUGGCGUAAAGGAAACGCAGGCGGUCUAUUAAGUCUGAUGUGCAAGCCUUCGGCUUAACCGGCGUAGUGCAUUGGAAACUGGGAGACUUGAGUGCAGAAGAGGAGAGUGGAACUCCAGGUGUAGCGGUGAAAUGCGUAGAUAUAUGGAAGAACACCAGUGGCGAAGGCGGCUCUCUGGUCUGUAACUGACGCUGAGGUUCGAAAGCGUGGGUAGCAAACAGGAUUAGAUACCCUUGUAGUC